Long non-coding RNA from Brassica oleracea var. oleracea, 891 nucleotides. RefSeq lists it as uncharacterized. The transcript has 3 exons. The record is from RefSeq and is a predicted model, not a curated record. Lineage: Eukaryota; Viridiplantae; Streptophyta; Magnoliopsida; Brassicales; Brassicaceae.
UACUGCCAUAAAAUAAUUUCCCAAAUUUCUCCGCCAAAAUAUUUCUACACUUUCCUUUUAACUCUUCUUAUCCGUGGAAACAAACACUCUCAUCGCCGACAAAGACCAACCCUAUCCCACUUCUCAUUCACGACAAAUUACCAGAGCUUCUCUUAAUGGGCUCUAGUAUGCAUCCACCAAGAAAAGGCAAUUUCCCUACAAAAGCUACUAUUGGACAAGGCGCAACAACUUUCGGGAAGAACACAUCUCAGGCAGAUCAUGUAGAUGGGUGAGGAGCCAGCAAUACUGACUUAGAGGGGAAGAUCCACAUGAAUACUGUUGAAUAAAGUUGAGUCUAUUGUUAUUGUUAAGAUUCUGUAUUUCCCUUGUGACUCUUUUUGUGUUAUUGCUUAUUGGUAAAUGUUUGAUUACCUCUUUCUUUUGUUAUGGCUAUGUGGCAGUGUUAUGCUUUAUUGUAAGUUUAGUAAUUGUGUUUCUUGUUUUCUGGUUUCUUAGGCAGUCAAGCCACACAAAAGAUAUUUGUUUGGACGUGGAACAACACAAAUGGAGAACAAUUAUCACAUUGAUCCACCAGGCCGUCGUUCUUACUCGUCAAUCUCGUUUAGAGAAGGAGUUGAUUAGUUUGACUGAAACUGUCUACUUGAUGAGCUAGCAGCUCACUGCUUUGUGUGAAGCUAGAGGAGUGGCAAGCACUGAUGCAACUACCAAUCCUUCUCCAUCCUCACCUCCUAGCACCAAUGAGCAGAGAAUCUAGAUGAUGUUGAUGGCUUUCUACAAUCAACUGAAGACAUAACAACUGGAAUCUUUUGUGUUUAGUUUGAACUUUUAUUAUGUCAUUAGUUUCCACCUAUUGGGUUUAAUAUUUUGUUUUCUACUAGUAACGAAUGCAAU